UUCAAAGAGGUAUUCCUGCCCCCCCCAGC
Molecule: non-coding RNA, 29 nt
Filed under: Mus musculus (house mouse)
Lineage: Eukaryota; Metazoa; Chordata; Mammalia; Rodentia; Muridae
Source: RNAcentral